UUUAGCAGUUACAACAGGGAUAUCUACGCCCUUCAACAACUUGGCUAUUAUAUACAAGCAACAGGGAAAUUAUGCAGAAGCGAUAGCCUGUUACAAUGAAGUUCUUCGCAGACUGCUACUGAUGGUCUUGUCAAUAGAGGGAACAAGAUGGCAUCAGAGAAAUCACAGAAAAUAGGGGGCUUAGUGCAGGAUAUUCAGGAU
This is a long non-coding RNA of Zingiber officinale, 201 nucleotides long. RefSeq lists it as uncharacterized. The record is from RefSeq and is a predicted model, not a curated record. The transcript is spliced from 3 exons. NCBI's taxonomy places the organism in Eukaryota, Viridiplantae, Streptophyta, Magnoliopsida, Zingiberales, Zingiberaceae.